CCUCCCCGCCCUAAGAGUUUGAUCCUGGCUCAGAGUGAACGCUGGCGGUAGGCCUAACACAUGCAAGUCGAACGGCAGCACAGGAGAGCUUGCUCUCUGGGUGGCGAGUGGCGGACGGGUGAGGAAUACAUCGGAAUCUACUUUUUCGUGGGGGAUAACGUAGGGAAACUUACGCUAAUACCGCAUACGACCUACGGGUGAAAGCAGGGGAUCUUCGGACCUUGCGCGAUUGAAUGAGCCGAUGUCGGAUUAGCUAGUUGGCGGGGUAAAGGCCCACCAAGGCGACGAUCCGUAGCUGGUCUGAGAGGAUGAUCAGCCACACUGGAACUGAGACACGGUCCAGACUCCUACGGGAGGCAGCAGUGGGGAAUAUUGGACAAUGGGCGCAAGCCUGAUCCAGCCAUACCGCGUGGGUGAAGAAGGCCUUCGGGUUGUAAAGCCCUUUUGUUGGGAAAGAAAUCCAGCCGGCUAAUACCUGGUUGGGAUGACGUACCCAAGAAUCGGAACCCAGC
This 512-nucleotide ribosomal RNA is filed under the name Stenotrophomonas maltophilia. RNAcentral's name for it is "bacterial SSU rRNA". It matches the Rfam family "Bacterial small subunit ribosomal RNA", at positions 1 to 497 of the family's 1533-position model. The record is from RNAcentral. Lineage: Bacteria; Pseudomonadati; Pseudomonadota; Gammaproteobacteria; Lysobacterales; Lysobacteraceae.